UACGGGGGGGGGGCAAGCGUUGUUCGGAAUUACUGGGCGUAAAGGGCUCGUAGGCGGCCAACUAAGUCAGACGUGAAAUCCCUCGACUUAACCGAGGAACUGCGUCUGAUACUGGAUGGCUUGAAUCCGGGAGAGGGAUGUGGAAUUCCAGGUGUAGCGGUGAAAUGCGUAGAUAUCUGGAGGAACACCGGUGGCGAAGGCGGCAUCCUGGACCGGUAUUGACGCUGAGUGAGCGAAAGCCAGGGGAGCAAACGGG
RNAcentral lists this ribosomal RNA (256 nucleotides) under uncultured bacterium. RNAcentral's name for it is "partial 16S ribosomal RNA". It matches the Rfam family "Bacterial small subunit ribosomal RNA", at positions 522 to 776 of the family's 1533-position model. The record is from RNAcentral.